Molecule: transfer RNA, 63 nt
Filed under: Stimulopalpus japonicus
Lineage: Eukaryota; Metazoa; Arthropoda; Insecta; Psocodea; Amphientomidae
Description: tRNA-Glu
Source: RNAcentral
AUUUAUUUAGUUUAUAAAAACAUUACACUUUCUAUGUAAAAUAGAGAUUUUUCUCUUUAAAUA